This 559-nucleotide ribosomal RNA is filed under the name Marisediminitalea oceani. RNAcentral's name for it is "bacterial SSU rRNA". It matches the Rfam family "Bacterial small subunit ribosomal RNA", at positions 71 to 630 of the family's 1533-position model. The record is from RNAcentral. Lineage: Bacteria; Pseudomonadati; Pseudomonadota; Gammaproteobacteria; Alteromonadales; Alteromonadaceae.
AUGUCUAGCUUGCUAGAUGAUGUCGAGUGGCGGACGGGUGAGUAAUGCUUGGGAACUUGCCUUUGGGAGGGGGAUAACAGUUGGAAACGACUGCUAAUACCGCAUAAUGUCUACGGACCAAAGGGGGCUUAGGCUCCUACCUGAAGAGAGGCCCAAGUGAGAUUAGCUAGUUGGUGGGGUAAAGGCUCACCAAGGCGACGAUCUCUAGCUGUUCUGAGAGGAAAAUCAGCCACACUGGGACUGAGACACGGCCCAGACUCCUACGGGAGGCAGCAGUGGGGAAUAUUGCACAAUGGGGGAAACCCUGAUGCAGCCAUGCCGCGUGUGUGAAAAAAGCCUUCGGGUUGUAAAGCACUUUCAGUUGUGAGGAAAGGUUAAUAGUUAAUACCUGCUAACUGUGACGUUAGCAACAGAAAAAGCACCGGCUAACUCCGUGCCAGCAGCCGCGGUAAUACCGAGGGUGCAAGCGUUAAUCGGAAUUACUGGGCGUAAAGCGCACGCAGGCGGUUUGUUAAACUAGAUGUGAAAACCCCGGGCUCCACCUGGGAUGGUCAUUUAG